Molecule: ribosomal RNA, 205 nt
Filed under: uncultured bacterium
Lineage: Bacteria
Description: partial 16S ribosomal RNA
Rfam family: Bacterial small subunit ribosomal RNA
Source: RNAcentral
UACGUAGGGUGCGAGCGUUGUCCGGAAUUAUUGGGCGUAAAGAGCUCGUAGGCGGUUUGUCGCGUCUGCUGUGAAAACCUAAGGCUCAACCUUGGGCUUGCAGUGGGUACGGGCAGACUAGAGUGCGGUAGGGGUGACUGGAAUUCCUGGUGUAGCGGUGGAAUGCGCAGAUAUCAGGAGGAACACCGAGUGGCGAAGGCAGGUC